This 210-nucleotide unclassified non-coding RNA is filed under the name plant metagenome. RNAcentral describes it as "partial contains small subunit ribosomal RNA, internal transcribed spacer 1, and 5.8S ribosomal RNA". The record is from RNAcentral.
GCUCCGUUGGUGAACCAGCGGAGGGAUCAUUACUGGAAUCGCAAGAUCCCACAACCCCUGUGAACCUACCGAAACGUUGCCUCGGCGGGCGCCCGGCCCCGCGCCGGGCGCUGAGCCCGCCGGCGGCCCCCUACUCUUGUCUCUGCAGCGUUGCAUCUCAGAGUCCCAGAAAACAAGUAAAAACUUUCAACAACGGAUCUCUUGGCUCUA